Molecule: RNA transcript, 3021 nt
Organism: Sinocyclocheilus grahami
Lineage: Eukaryota; Metazoa; Chordata; Actinopteri; Cypriniformes; Cyprinidae
Gene name: myb-like protein X
Exons: 4
Source: RefSeq, a predicted model, not a curated record
UCUUAGUGUUGGGGGCGGGUGUGUGUGCGUGUGCCGUGUGGUAGCAGGGUGGGGGUGGUCUCCCUGGUUGCUAAGGGCAACAGGGUGAGAUAGAUGGAGCCGCAGCUGCGCGUCUGUUAAUACCAGCGUUCGACCCUCAGCGUCUCCGCGCGCGAAAUUCUCUCUACACACACACACAAUCUCUCUCCCUCACACAUACUGAUCUCACUUCAGUCAAGGCAUGAGGAUGCGAGCGGGGAUUUAGUUUGUGUCUUUUCCAGUCUACAGCAGAUUAUUACCUUUCCUCCAGCACACGGGACGGAUUGACACACGAGGAACAAGCUUUGAGGUCCAUCUACUCCAUACGGAAUAUGAUGCAGAAUUGCCCAUUUCUUAUGGAAAUAAGUUGGAUAGGAACACUCACAGAGCUGCCGGCUGAUCAUCAAUGAACUCAGUUCCAUAAAGAACUCAAGGAAAUAAGUAUUUUUCAGCUAGGAAGACCUGAUAGUUGGAGUUUUUAUUUUCGAUAUGGCGGCAACUGAGGCUAAUGCAGAGCCUGUCCAAGCAGACAUUGUCGAGAACAAGGCCGAGGUAGAAACCACAAAUCCAGCCCCAGCUUCAACAGAGGAAGCCCCAGCUUCAACAGAGGAAACACAGCCUACUACUGAGGCGCCACAAAGCACAGAGCAACCAGCUGAUAGCAAAUCUAAGCCAGCCUCUGAGAAAAUAUGGGACUCUUUUUUAAAUAAAAGUGGGCUUGGAAAAGUAAUGGGAGGGAAGAAAAAGAAGGAGCAGCAAACAGGAGCUGAGGAUACUACUGGCGAGGAGCAAGAUAAGGUCUCCAGCCAGAACGAUCAAGGGGAUACUGCAGGCCCUAAAGACCAGGAAUCUAGUCAGCCAGCAGAAGCUGGCGAGGCUGCAGCCGAUGGGCAGACUAUUGAAAAGGCACCAGAAAAUGAGGAGGUUUCCCAAGAGCAAAAGGCAUCUGGUGCCAAGCCAAAGCAAGGAGAGAAGUCUAGUGUUAGGGACUUCAUUCGCAAGCCUGUUGCUAAAAUUUUCUCACACAAAAGCACAGACAAAAAGGAUAGUACAGGGGCACUUCAAAAACAUGGCAAGGUUCGUUCAAAAUCACUAGACAGGCUGGAGGAUGCUGAUGCCAGCACAAAUGUGGCAGACCAAGCAGAGGAGCCUCCGACUGCAGAUGAGCCAGACAAAUCUAACCCCCAAACAACAAAAAACAUGAAACGCUGGCACUCUUUUAAGAAACUCAUGGCUCAGAAAAGUCACAAGAAAAGCACAGAUGAGUCCAAGGAUGCUGAGGGUGCAGAAGGAACCAGUGCAGAUGGAGCAGGAGACAGUGGGACACUGGAUUCCACUACAAAGUCAGAGCACUCUGGGCAAAAAAGGUGGAAACUAAAGAGAUCUUGGACAUUCCAAGGACUGAAGAGAGAUUCAUCAGUUGUUGGAAUCCACAAACCAAAGGACAAAGACUCUUCAGAUGUAAACGAUGAAAACGCCCCAGAGGCUGAACAGGGGACAGAAGAUGUAAAGGUAGCCAGCGACACAGAAGCACAGGAGAAGAUUAAUGCUGAGGGUGAGGAGGAGAAAGGAGCAACUGCUACUACACAGCAUGCAAAAUCUGUGGACCAGCAUGCAAAUGAGAUCUGGACCUCUUUCAAAAAACGAGUUAUUCCCAAAUCAAAGAGGGCAGCUGACACUGGUGGAGUAGAGGAAGAAGCAGCGGGUGAGCAAGAGCAGACUGAUGAACCACAGGCUGGUAAAGACUCAGGCAAGACAGCCAAGGCAAAAAGGACACACUUCAACCGUGCUGUGUCACUAAAGAACUUCAUACUGCGAAAGGGGAAAAGUACCAGUGUGGACAUGGGGGAGGGUACAGCAGCCCAGAAAGAUGGAGAUGGUACUUGUGAGAGUGAGGCUAAAGACCUGGAUGGCCUUGAUGAUGCAGCUGGGGCAACUGAUGUCCCACAGACUGUAUCAGAGGAGCAAACUGUGGCUCAGAAUGAGAGCAGUAAUGAAGCUCAGGUGGCAGGCGAAUACAAGAGUUCUGAUGGAGAGGAGAGGUCCCACACUAGUGCACCAUCUGGUCAGCCAUCAGACAAGUCUCACGUAGCAGAUCCAGCACCAGAGGGUGGAGCCCAGACAGAGCCAAAAGCCAAUGGUGAGAAUGGAUGCUUGGAUGCUACAUCAGAGUACACCGCAGCACACAAUCAUGAAGCAACAACCCAGAAUGAUGUGAAGGGUGAGGAGACCAACCAGGAGACCAUAGACUCUAGUGGCAAAACUUGUCCGAAGGAUGGGAAGAUCCUCAAUCAAGACGGGAACUGUGAUACUGUCAAUGCAGUUGCCCAAAGCGGUGAGUGUGAAGCUCCAAUUGACUCAAGAGAUCUACUGCAAAAUGGAAAUGGCAAAGCAGAGUCUAAAUUAGGAGUAGGUACUAGUGUUGAGGUAGAGACUGGGGGGGAUGGGGCCCCUCAAUGUGGAGGGUCCCUUUCUGGGUCAGCAAAGACCAAUACAGAUGAACAAGAGGAAGCCUUGAAGAGGAUGUUCUAUGAGGUUGCAGCUUCCAUCGUUCGUGCAGUUGUAUCCUCAGCCACUGAACAGUUAGCCAAGGAGAAGGACUUUCUGGACAGUAGUUUAAAGUGUUUCCAGCCUGAAAACAAUAGCAGUUACACAGAUAUUGAUGUCAGUUACUGUCACAGAGAAGUUACUUUAAAUCAAGGAUCUCUGUAUUGAUCCUUGAUGAUCCUGAGCACCUUCAUCUCUGUUUAAAAAAAGGCGGGAAACGUGUGACGCCACACAAAGAGGAUUAGAUCUGCAUGGGAUUCGUUCAGCGAGGAGCUUUCCCCCCCUCCCCCAAAAUAUGGAGUAAUCACAUGUUUACGCCACGAUUCACCAUGAUAUGUGAUACAGAUACAUUUGAAAUAACAGCCCACCAGACUGCCCCCCGAAUUGUGAAUUCAAUGCGGAAUGUGCUCUAAUUUCUGUGUUUUUGUUUUUAGACUUAUCUUGUGUACAUGAAUA